UUGAUUAUGACUUUGUUGCAACCAAAUAAUUAUAUUUUUGGUUAAUUUUUAUAUAUUAGUUAAAAACUAUAAUUUUGCUAUAAUGGUUGGAAGCAAGUGUCACGGACACAGAAUACAGACUUGAUAUCUACCAAGAAGUUCAAGAAGAACUGGCAAGAACUAGAUUAAUCAGAUGAAUACAAGAACAACACCAGAGAGGUGAGCUAGAGCUCCAAGAGAUGUG
This 223-nucleotide long non-coding RNA is filed under the name Physcomitrium patens. RNAcentral describes it as "long non-coding RNA (PPAT_LNC010625)". The record is from RNAcentral. Lineage: Eukaryota; Viridiplantae; Streptophyta; Bryopsida; Funariales; Funariaceae.